Non-coding RNA from Pelobates cultripes (western spadefoot toad), 220 nucleotides. The record is from the annotation of a GenBank genome assembly. NCBI's taxonomy places the organism in Eukaryota, Metazoa, Chordata, Amphibia, Anura, Pelobatidae.
AGUAUUAAGCCUGUGUGUAGUGGUCAUUUUGCAGGAUUUCAGACACAAUAUAAAUAUUAAAAAUCUGCCAAUGAUCACUAGGCUUAAGUUGGCAAAAUGCAGACAAUGUUCCUUGAGGGAAGCAAGCCAUAAUCUGUUCAGACAAUGUCACUGUUAGAAUUAUUUUAAAUAAAAGAAAAUGCAGUUUUAGAGGUGUGAGGGGGGAUUUACACUAUAUAAC